RNAcentral lists this long non-coding RNA (376 nucleotides) under Homo sapiens (human). RNAcentral describes it as "HSALNT0384052". The record is from RNAcentral. Lineage: Eukaryota; Metazoa; Chordata; Mammalia; Primates; Hominidae.
CGAGGCGCAGCGUGACGGCGGCGUGCAGCCCCACGGCCGGGCUGUAGCGCGUGAGCUCCAGGAACACAGCGCGGCUCCUGCGCAGAGGGGUCUGGCUGGACUAAAGGCAAAACUAAAGCCCAGAAGACAGACCAGUGCACCGGAUGCCCGUACCGCGUGAUGGCCAGGAAGGCCCGGCUGUGCAGCUCCUGCUUGAUGGCGCUUUGCAGACGGAGCCAGUGACCACCGAGGCUGUGCCACUGCAUCGGGCCACCAUGCUGAUAUGCCCGGUCCCAGAGCUGCUAGAGAAGAGGUACAGAGGCAGCGAAGACACGUUGAGGGGGAGGACGAGACCAACUGCGAGACGCCGAGUCCCGGGCUCUCAGGACGCUCUCCC